Molecule: long non-coding RNA, 384 nt
Filed under: Anser brachyrhynchus (Pink-footed goose)
Lineage: Eukaryota; Metazoa; Chordata; Aves; Anseriformes; Anatidae
Description: lncRNA (ENSABRG00000001214.1)
Source: RNAcentral
AAGCAAGAUCCCAUUGUCAACAAAUGACUGUCUCGUUUUUGAGCUGAGAAUCGGAGCACAGGGAUGCAGAAUCUGAGCCUCCCAGGCUUCCCGUGCUCUCAACAUCCUGCAUCACCCAUGUCUUGCCCCAGAAAAGCACAACACUAUUGACAUUUCAUCUCAUCUCUCAUAUUAAUGAGCUUUAACUGAACCCAUUGCACUGGGAUCACUGAAGCUGUGAGGAAGCAGAUUCUCUGAUGCCUACUCUCAAGUCAGCUGUUGUCUGCUGUCUCCAGAAGAAAAUUAGUUCCUCUUGCUAUUCAGGUGGAUUUGCUGCUACCAAUUUCUUUGACGACACACUGUGAACAGUGAAUUAGUGCUUUACAGGAGAAGCAAGUGGAAAAG